Molecule: long non-coding RNA, 1741 nt
Filed under: Mus musculus (house mouse)
Lineage: Eukaryota; Metazoa; Chordata; Mammalia; Rodentia; Muridae
Description: long non-coding RNA chr17:88646116-88647857
Source: RNAcentral
AAAGAGUCCUUCGUGUCGUGUUAAUGUGCAUUCAACUCACGCAGAGCCAUGUUUGUGACGCGAGGCUCUCUUCCCCACAAAACAGGUUUGUUCUAAGUCAAAAAGUUACACAGCUGCUCCAAACUGCGUUUGCUUGUUGGCCUACAGUAUUUAUUUCCUGCAUUUAUAUUUUGUUACAUUCAUUUUCAUCUAUUCAAAUAGGUUAAAGCAAACACUUGUAGUAUUUUGUACCAAUCAUACUUUAUAGCUGUCAUUACAGUAAAGGCACAGAAAACAAAAGUCAGAGAUAAGAAUGGAUUAUAUUGCUCUAUUUUAACCGUGUGACACGUCACUCAUAUUUGCUUGAAGCUCGUUGUUGAUGCAUAGCACACAUAUGUAUGUCAGUGUGUAUCUGAUUAAAAACAAACAACCCACCAUCAUUCCUUAUGUUUGGGAGCAGGCACACUUCCUUCACUUUAGCCCGCUUGGAACAAACAUGGAGAUUUUUGAGGGGCUAUGUUGGGAAAUCCCAGGGAAGUUAGCUGGGUUAAUCACACCUUCUCUGAGGUAUUUUAUGGCCUCCUGCCUAUAAAGAUCUCACAGUGGAUGCAGAGGAACUUAAUGCAUAUUCAUAUCACAAGAGAAAACCAGCAGAGGAUUCCCUCCAAGGCAUUAUUCUUCCUGCCCUGAAGAUUGGCUAAUAUGUGUGGGUCACACUGCUGAGGUCUUUAACAAGUCACAAUCAACCAGACUUUGGGGGCCUCCUCCAGCUUCAGUAUUAAGGCUGGAGGACUGACGCAAGCUCAAAUUGAGUUUCUGGAGCAACGUUGAUAGCAUUAACAGCGGGGGUUACAACUGCAUACUCCUUAAUUUGUACAUCGAUCGGGACUUCAAAUAUCCAUUACUUAGUGUGAAAUCAACAUUAGGGAUAAGAGGCUUUUAGAUACAGUCCUUCUGACCUUAGAAAUGGCGGGAAGUUAAAUGUGACUUCCAAGCCCUGCAUGAAAACUUACUGGGAUGGUGUAAGAAGUAAAAUCUCUCCCCAGAAGCCAGCAGUGAUCUUCAAAAUCCCUGCUUUUAAACAAGCCCAGGAGGGAAUUCAAGAAGAAACACUCCUUUUAAACAUUUUAACUUGGGUAACUUUUUUACCUGUGUGACCACUUUGGAGUCUGUAGCCAACUAAGGAAAUCACUACCCUGGUCUGGUUAUUUGGGCAGCAGGGGACCACAUUAACUGUGCCAAUGAGAGCAUGGGUGAUAGUUCCAUGAUCAGUUAUGUAGGACUGAGCAUAAGAACACUUCCAUGUCUGUGGGAAUGGCUGUUUAUCAAUUACAAAAGAUAAGAAAGGUGGCACACGCCUUUAAUCCCAGCACUUGGGAGGCAGAGGCAGGCGGAUUUCUGAGUUCGAGGCCAGCCUGGCCUACAGGGUGAGUUCCAGGACAGGCAGGACUACACAGAGAAACCAUGUCUCGGAAAAAAGAAAAAAGAAAGAAAGUCACACUCUCCAUCUUGUCUUUAGGUCUGGUCUGUGUAUCAGAGAACUGCAGUUGCCUUUCAUUCAGCAGCUAUGUUUAUUAUCUAACCAAUUUCCUACAACUUCAGUUAGAGAGUUUUCCUUAACAAUGGCUGUUACAAUGUUUUACUCAGAAUAUGACUUCCUGACCUAUUGUUACAAACUCAGAACAGACUGAACUUGAUAAUCAUGUAACAAAGUAUUUUGUAGAUUACAUAUUGAUUUUUUACAAAAUUAAAGAUGUAUUUC